This 71-nucleotide transfer RNA is filed under the name Stegodyphus mimosarum. It matches the Rfam family "tRNA". Rfam says of the family: Transfer RNA (tRNA) molecules are approximately 80 nucleotides in length. Their secondary structure includes four short double-helical elements and three loops (D, anti-codon, and T loops). Further hydrogen bonds mediate the characteristic L-shaped molecular structure. tRNAs have two regions of fundamental functional importance: the anti-codon, which is responsible for specific mRNA codon recognition, and the 3' end, to which the tRNAs corresponding amino acid is attached (by aminoacyl-tRNA synthetases). tRNAs cope with the degeneracy of the genetic code in two manners: having more than one tRNA (with a specific anti-codon) for a particular amino acid; and 'wobble' base-pairing, i.e. permitting non-standard base-pairing at the 3rd anti-codon position. The record is from Rfam by way of RNAcentral. Lineage: Eukaryota; Metazoa; Arthropoda; Arachnida; Araneae; Eresidae.
GCCAUCGUGAUGCAACGGUAGCACACUCGACUUGUAUUCGAGAGGUCCAGGUUCGAGUCCAGGAGAGAGCA